GCCAACCGAUGAUGCCACCUUAGGCUUUGUUUAGUUUCGAAAAGUAAAAAGUUUUUGAUAUUAUAGCACUUUCGUUUGUUUGUGACAAAUAUUAUCCAAUCAUGGACUAACUAGGAUUAAAAGAUUCGUCUCGUGAUUUACAGCUAAACUGUGUAAUUAGUUUUUAUUUUCGUCUAUAUUUAAUGUUUCAUGUAUGUGCUAUAAAAUUCGAUGUAACGGAGAAACUUGAAAACUUUUUGUUUUCACAGUGCACUAAACAAGGCCUUCGACCCCCCCCGACGUUCAGCUCGGGGACGAACUAUUUGAAGAGGUGGAAAGAGAUAUUAGGAUCGGAGUUAACUAUAGGUGCUACGGCCACAAAAGUGGCUAACGUCACAUUGGCCUGAGAGGGCGAGAGGACUCCAAGAGCUUGUCAAAUAUUAGUAGUUAAAUUUUAUUGUUUAGUUGUUUUAUAAAAUAAAAAAAAUAAAAAGAGUUUGCUGAAUGCCUGACACUUAGCAAAGUUCAAAUGGAAAAAGGAAAACCCAAAAAAAUUAGAAAAACAAAUAAUCGAGAAAGGCCAUGACCAGCCAGCACCCAUCUUCGCUGAAGUCGCAAGUCACGGCUUUUUUGCUGGCGGGAUUCAAACCCGCGACCACUUCCUCACGCAAUAACUCUUCUAACCACUACACUACAUAGUCACAUGUGUCUAUAAGUCAUUUUGGUUCCUCACAUAUUUUUUUAACCGAGUGUAAAUUGCAUGUUUAAAGCCAUAAACAAAUUUAAAUAAAAAAAUUAUCAACUACAAAGUUUCAUAACUUUUCGACAUUUACACUUCUUGUUUAGAAAGCUUCUCCA
RNAcentral lists this long non-coding RNA (837 nucleotides) under Sorghum bicolor (sorghum). RNAcentral's name for it is "long non-coding RNA (SBIC_LNC009965)". The record is from RNAcentral. Lineage: Eukaryota; Viridiplantae; Streptophyta; Magnoliopsida; Poales; Poaceae.